UACCUCCUUGACAAUGCAUCAGCA
Molecule: non-coding RNA, 24 nt
Filed under: Arabidopsis thaliana (thale cress)
Lineage: Eukaryota; Viridiplantae; Streptophyta; Magnoliopsida; Brassicales; Brassicaceae
Source: RNAcentral